UGGAAGCUUACCGGGGAAGAUCGCAGGAUGACGGCCAGGCUAAUGGCCUUGCCUGACUCGCGGAGAGGAGGUGCAUGGCCGUCGCCAGUUCGUGUUGUGAAAUGUCCGGUUAAGUCCGGCAACGAGCGAGACCCCCACCCCUAGUUGGUACUCUGGCCUCCGGGCCAGGGCCACACUAGGGGGACUGCCGCCGUAAGGCGGAGGAAGGAGGGGGCCACGGCAGGUCAGCAUGCCCCGAAACCCCCGGGCCGCACGCGGGUUACAAUGGCAGGGACAGCGGGAUCCUGCCCCGAGAGGGGUGGGCAAUCCCUAAACCCUGCCUCAGUUGGGAUCGAGGGCUGCAACUCGCCCUCGUGAACGAGGAAUCCCUAGUAACCGCAGGUCACCAACCUGCGGUGAAUACGUCCCUGCUCCUUGCACUCACCGCCCGUCAAACACAAAG
RNAcentral lists this ribosomal RNA (442 nucleotides) under hot springs metagenome. RNAcentral describes it as "bacterial SSU rRNA". It matches the Rfam family "Archaeal small subunit ribosomal RNA", at positions 920 to 1364 of the family's 1478-position model. The record is from RNAcentral.